UACGGGGGGAGCAAGCGUUGUUCGGAAUUACUGGGCGUAAAGGGCUCGUAGGUGGCCAACUAAGUCAGACGUGAAAUCCCUCAGCUUAACUGGGGAACUGCGUCUGAUACUGGAUGGCUUGAGUUUGGGAGAGGGAUGCGGAAUUCCAGGUGUAGCGGUGAAAUGCGUAGAUAUCUGGAGGAACACCGGUGGCGAAGGCGGCAUCCUGGACCAACACUGACACUGAGGAGCGAAAGCCAGGGGAGCAAACGGG
Molecule: ribosomal RNA, 253 nt
Filed under: uncultured bacterium
Lineage: Bacteria
Description: partial 16S ribosomal RNA
Rfam family: Bacterial small subunit ribosomal RNA
Source: RNAcentral